UGGGGAAUAUUGGACAAUGGGCGAAAGCCUGAUGGAGCAACGCCGCGUGAGUGAAGAAGGGUUUCGGCUCGUAAAGCUCUGUUGUUAAAGAAGAACACGUAUGAGAGUAACUGUUCAUACGUUGACGGUAUUUAACCAGAAAGUCACGGCUAACUACGUGUCAG
RNAcentral lists this ribosomal RNA (164 nucleotides) under uncultured bacterium. RNAcentral describes it as "partial 16S ribosomal RNA". It matches the Rfam family "Bacterial small subunit ribosomal RNA", at positions 355 to 511 of the family's 1533-position model. The record is from RNAcentral.